GACGAACGCUGGCGGCGUGCUUAAUACAUGCAAGUUAACUGAACUUAAGAUAGCAAUAUUUUAAGGGAGGUGGCGCACGGGUGAGUAACACGUAGGUAAUCUGCCUUUAGGUCUGACACAACCCCGAGAAAUCGGGGCUAAUAUCAGAUGAUGCAGCGGCUCGACAUCGAGACAGUUGUUAAACCUUCGGGGCCGUAAAGAUGAGCCUGCGUCUGAUUAGGUAGUUGGCGGAGUAAAAGCCCACCAAGCCUGCGAUCAGUAGCUGGUCUGAGAGGAUGAUCAGCCACACUGGAACUGAGACACGGUCCAGACUCCUACGGGAGGCAGCAGUAAGGAAUAUUGCUCAAUGGCCGAAAGGCUGAAGCAGCAACGCCGCGUGGAGGAUGAAAUACUUUUGUAUGUAAACUCCUGUAAGAAGGGAAAAUAUUCCGAUUAUUCGGGAUUGAUUGUACCUUCAGAGUAAGCCCCGGCUAACUACGUGCCAGCAGCC
This 490-nucleotide ribosomal RNA is filed under the name uncultured bacterium. RNAcentral describes it as "bacterial SSU rRNA". It matches the Rfam family "Bacterial small subunit ribosomal RNA", at positions 28 to 516 of the family's 1533-position model. The record is from RNAcentral.